RNAcentral lists this ribosomal RNA (888 nucleotides) under uncultured bacterium. RNAcentral's name for it is "bacterial SSU rRNA". It matches the Rfam family "Bacterial small subunit ribosomal RNA", at positions 495 to 1397 of the family's 1533-position model. The record is from RNAcentral.
GGCUAACUACGUGCCAGCAGCCGCGGUAAUACGUAGGUGACAAGCGUUAUCCGGAUUUAUUGGGCGUAAAGGGUGCGUAGGCGGCAGUUUAAGUUUAAGGUGAAAGCGUUGGGCUCAACCCAAUACAGCGUAAAAACUGGACAGCUAGAGUGCAGGAGAGGUUAGCGGAAUUCCAUGUGUAGCGGUAAAAUGCGUAGAUAUAUGGAGGAACACCAGUGGCGAAGGCGGCUAACUGGCCUGUAACUGACGCUGAGGCACGAAAGCGUGGGGAGCAAAUAGGAUUAGAUACCCUAGUAGUCCACGCUGUAAACGAUGAAUACUAAGUGUUGGGGAAACUCAGUGCUGCAGUUAACGCAAUAAGUAUUCCGCCUGGGGAGUAUGCACGCAAGUGUGAAACUCAAAGGAAUUGACGGGGACCCGCACAAGCGGUGGAUUAUGUGGUUUAAUUCGACGCAACGCGAAGAACCUUACCAAGCCUUGACAUCCCGAGCAAAUCUAUAGAGAUAUAGAGGAGGUUAUCUCGGUGACAGGUGGUGCAUGGUUGUCGUCAGCUCGUGUCGUGAGAUGUUGGGUUAAGUCCCGCAACGAGCGCAACCCUUGUCUUUAGUUACCAGCAUUAAGUUGGGGACUCUAGAGAGACUGCCGGUGACAAACCGGAGGAAGGUGGGGAUGACGUCAAAUCAGCAUGCCCCUUAUGGCUUGGGCUACACACGUAAUACAAUGGCGUAUACAAAGGGAAGCGACCCAGUGAUGGUGAGCAAAUCUCAUAAAGUACGUCUCAGUUCGGAUUGGAGUCUGCAACUCGACUCCAUGAAGUUGGAAUCGCUAGUAAUCGCGAAUCAGCAUGUCGCGGUGAAUACGUUCUCGGGUCUUGCACACACCGCCCGU